RNAcentral lists this ribosomal RNA (465 nucleotides) under uncultured bacterium. RNAcentral describes it as "partial 16S ribosomal RNA". It matches the Rfam family "Bacterial small subunit ribosomal RNA", at positions 28 to 507 of the family's 1533-position model. The record is from RNAcentral.
GACGAACGCUGGCGGCGUGCUUAACACAUGCAAGUCGAACGGAAAGGCCCUGCUUGCAGUGUUCUCGAGUGGCUAACGGGUGAGUAACUCGUGGGUGAUCUGCCCUGCACUUCGGGAUAAGCCUGGGUAACUGGGUCUAAUACCGGCUAGGUGCCAUUUUUUGUGUGAUGUUUUUAAUGUUUUUUCGGUGUAGGAUGAGCUCGCGGCCUAUCCGCUUUUUGGUGGGGUAAUGGCCUACCAAGGCGGCGACGGGUAGCCGGCAUGAGAGGGUGGACGGCCACAAUGGGACUGAGAUACGGACCAGACGCCUACGGGAGGCAGCAGUGGGGAAUAUUGCACAAUGAGGGCAAGCCAGAUGCAGAGACGCCGCGUGGGGGAUGACGGCCUUCGGGUUGUGAACGCCGUUCGCUAGGGACAAAGCUUUUUGUGACGGUACCUAGAGAAGAAGCACCGGCUAACUACGUG